This 161-nucleotide ribosomal RNA is filed under the name Russula dissimulans. Its description in RNAcentral is "5.8S ribosomal RNA". It matches the Rfam family "5.8S ribosomal RNA". Rfam says of the family: 5.8S ribosomal RNA (5.8S rRNA) is a component of the large subunit of the eukaryotic ribosome. It is transcribed by RNA polymerase I as part of the 45S precursor that also contains 18S and 28S rRNA. The record is from RNAcentral. Lineage: Eukaryota; Fungi; Basidiomycota; Agaricomycetes; Russulales; Russulaceae.
ACAACUUUCAACAACGGAUCUCUUGGCUCUCGCAUCGAUGAAGAACGCAGNGAAAUGCGAUACGUAAUGUGAAUUGCAGAAUUCAGUGAAUCAUCGAAUCUUUGAACGCACCUUGCGCCCCUUGGCAUUCCGAGGGGCACACCCGUUUGAGUGUCGUGAAA